This is a long non-coding RNA of Cyprinus carpio (common carp), 469 nucleotides long. The record is from Ensembl. Lineage: Eukaryota; Metazoa; Chordata; Actinopteri; Cypriniformes; Cyprinidae.
CAUUCAGCCAGCUCACUGCCUCUGGUACAACUCGAACAGAGAGAGAGAGAGAGAGAGAGAGAGAGAGAGAGAGAGGUAGUUCAGGAAAUUGAAACCGCUUCAGUUCGAACUUUUCUUUUUUUCACUCGUCUCUUUUAAAACUUUCCGUCCAGCCUCCCUCACUCUCACUUCUGUGUUGACAGUCACUUGAAAGUUUGACAAACUUCACAGCAAUGCGGUGACCAAAGUGCAACAGGGUGCAAGACAGAAGAGGAAAAAGUGCACCGGGACACUGACACCCCUUCUCGGCUCGCUGGUUUGGGGUCUCCACCGCAGGACAGAAGGGGACAAACUGCCACCUGCCUCCCCUGCAGCUGCGUGUGAGAACAAAGAGUCUACUAGAAGAGCCGUGAGCCUGGUACCCUGGACCGGCAGAAGUUGCCAACGCAGAAAUGAAAAAAGGAAAUUGAUAAAAAAAAAAAGAAUAUAA